RNAcentral lists this long non-coding RNA (238 nucleotides) under Carica papaya (papaya). Its description in RNAcentral is "long non-coding RNA (CPAP_LNC000416)". Lineage: Eukaryota; Viridiplantae; Streptophyta; Magnoliopsida; Brassicales; Caricaceae. The record is from RNAcentral.
ACUAAUGUGCCUUAGAGAAAUACUCACCGAUAUAUUGUUACUCAAUCAUUCCUUGUGAAUGCAGGUACACAGGAAUGAGGGGAGGAAGGCCCCCACUAAACCUAGCGGCCCCAGAUAAUUCAAUUCGGGAGGAUUUAGAUAGACUAUUCAAGAUGGUGGAGGCUCUCGCAGCUGCCCAGCGAAGGCAAGAGGAGAGAAGGGAGUUACCGGGACCUCCUCCGCUAGCGCAGGUUGAGCC